GAACGCUGGCGGCAGGCUUAACACAUGCAAGUCGAACGGUAACAGAAAAUAGCUUGCUAUUUUGCUGACGAGUGGCGGACGGGUGAGUAAUGCUUGGGAAUUUACCUUGUUGUGGGGGACAACAGUUGGAAACGACUGCUAAUACCGCAUAAUCUCUUCGGAGCAAAGGUGGCCUCUAUUUAUAUGCUAUCGCAACAAGAUGAGCCCAAGUGGGAUUAGCUAGUUGGUAAGGUAAUGGCUUACCAAGGCGACGAUCCCUAGCUGGUCUUAGAGGAUGACCAGCCACACUGGAACUGAGACACGGUCCAGACUCCUACGGGAGGCAGCAGUGGGGAAUAUUGCACAAUGGGGGGAAACCCUGAUGCAGCCAUGCCGCGUGUGUGAAGAAGGCUUUCGGGUUGUAAAGCACUUUCAGCGAGGAGGAAAGGGUGUUGCUUAAUACGUAACAUCUGUGACGUUACUCGCAGAAGAAGCACCGGCUAACUCCGUG
Molecule: ribosomal RNA, 490 nt
Filed under: uncultured bacterium
Lineage: Bacteria
Description: bacterial SSU rRNA
Rfam family: Bacterial small subunit ribosomal RNA
Source: RNAcentral